GGCGAACGGGUGAGUAACGCGUAAGCAAUCUACCUUCAAGAUGGGGACAACACUUCGAAAGGGGUGCUAAUACCGAAUGAAUGUAAGAGUAUCGCAUGAGACACUUACUAAAGGAGGCCUCUGACAUAAGCUUCCGCUUGAAGAUGAGCUUGCGUCUGAUUAGCUAGUUGGUGAGGGUAAAGGCCCACCAAGGCGACGAUCAGUAGCCGGUCUGAGAGGAUGAACGGCCACAUUGGGACUGAGACACGGCCCAGACUCCUACGGGAGGCAGCAGUGGGGAAUCUUCCGCAAUGGGCGAAAGCCUGACGGAGCAACGCCGCGUGAACGAAGAAGGUCUUAGGAUCGUAAAGUUCUGUUGUUAGGGACGAAGGGUAAGAAUCAUAAUAAGGUUUUUAUUUGACGGUACCUAACGAGGAAGCCACGGCUAACUACGUGCCAGCAGCCGCGGUAAUACGUAGGCGGCAAGCGUUGUCCGGAAUUAUUGGGCGUAAAGGGAGCGCAGGCGGGAAACUAAGCGGAUCUUAAAAGUGCGGGGCUCAACCCCGUGAUGGGGUCCGAACUGGUUUUCUUGAGUGCAGGAGAGGAAAGCGGAAUUCCCAGUGUAGCGGUGAAAUGCGUAGAUAUUGGGAAGAACACCA
RNAcentral lists this ribosomal RNA (638 nucleotides) under uncultured bacterium. RNAcentral describes it as "bacterial SSU rRNA". It matches the Rfam family "Bacterial small subunit ribosomal RNA", at positions 97 to 711 of the family's 1533-position model. The record is from RNAcentral.